This 386-nucleotide ribosomal RNA is filed under the name Neopodospongia sp. n. GLH-2013. Its description in RNAcentral is "eukaryotic LSU rRNA". It matches the Rfam family "Eukaryotic large subunit ribosomal RNA", at positions 821 to 1207 of the family's 3401-position model. Lineage: Eukaryota; Metazoa; Porifera; Demospongiae; Poecilosclerida; Podospongiidae. The record is from RNAcentral.
AGAUGGUGAACUAUGCCUGAAUAGGGUGAAGCCAGAGGAAACUCUGGUGGAAGCUCGCAGCGAUUCUGACGUGCAAAUCGAUCGUCAAAUUUGGGUAUAGGGGCGAAAGACUAAUCGAACCAUCUAGUAGCUGGUUCCCUCCGAAGUUUCCCUCAGGAUAGCUGGAGCCCGGUGCAGUUUUAUCAGGUAAAGCGAAUGAUUAGAGGUCUUGGGGUUGAAACAACCUCAACCUAUUCUCAAACUUUAAAUGGGUAAGAAGCUCGGCUUGCUCGGUUGAAGUUGGGCAUCGAAUGCCGGGGCUCCUAGUGGGCCAUUUUUGGUAAGCAGAACUGGCGAUGUGGGAUGAACCAAAUGCCGGGUUAAGGUGCCCGAAUCGACGCUCAGCA